RNAcentral lists this transfer RNA (76 nucleotides) under marine sediment metagenome. RNAcentral describes it as "tRNA-Arg". It matches the Rfam family "tRNA". Rfam says of the family: Transfer RNA (tRNA) molecules are approximately 80 nucleotides in length. Their secondary structure includes four short double-helical elements and three loops (D, anti-codon, and T loops). Further hydrogen bonds mediate the characteristic L-shaped molecular structure. tRNAs have two regions of fundamental functional importance: the anti-codon, which is responsible for specific mRNA codon recognition, and the 3' end, to which the tRNAs corresponding amino acid is attached (by aminoacyl-tRNA synthetases). tRNAs cope with the degeneracy of the genetic code in two manners: having more than one tRNA (with a specific anti-codon) for a particular amino acid; and 'wobble' base-pairing, i.e. permitting non-standard base-pairing at the 3rd anti-codon position. The record is from RNAcentral.
AGCCGUGUAGCUCAAUUGGAAAGAGCGCCAGACUACGGAUCUGGGUCCAGUGGGGGUUCGAGUCCUCUCACGGCUA